This 254-nucleotide ribosomal RNA is filed under the name uncultured bacterium. Its description in RNAcentral is "partial 16S ribosomal RNA". It matches the Rfam family "Bacterial small subunit ribosomal RNA", at positions 524 to 776 of the family's 1533-position model. The record is from RNAcentral.
UACGGGGGGAGCAAGCGUUGUUCGGAUUUACUGGGCGUAAAGGGCGCGUAGGCGGUCGUGACAAGUCACUUGUGAAAUCUCCGGGCUUAACUCGGAACGGUCAAGUGAUACUGUCGGACUAGAGUACAGAAGGGGCAACUGGAAUUCUCGGUGUAGCGGUGAAAUGCGUAGAUAUCAGGAGGAACACCGAUGGCGAAGGCAGGUCUCUGGGCCACUACUGACGCUGAGAAGCGAAAGCAUGGGGAGCGAACAGG